CUCAAGCGCAGCCAGAGUGGGCGCCGAGGCCAAGGGGGCGCCGAGGCCGAGGAGGCGCCUAGAGCGAGCGAGGGCUGCCAGGGCUGCCAGCAUGCUGUCACCUCUCACAACGAUGCUGAGGACCAGUUUGAGCCAUCAUAUGUCAGGGAGAAAAGAGGAACCUCUGGCAAGGCUAUGCCUGCUACCUGCCUUAUGAUUGGGCAGAAACUCCCACCCAUGGAAGCUGA
RNAcentral lists this long non-coding RNA (227 nucleotides) under Homo sapiens (human). Its description in RNAcentral is "non-protein coding lnc-ST8SIA1-3:3". Lineage: Eukaryota; Metazoa; Chordata; Mammalia; Primates; Hominidae. The record is from RNAcentral.